Non-coding RNA from Pelobates cultripes (western spadefoot toad), 293 nucleotides. NCBI's taxonomy places the organism in Eukaryota, Metazoa, Chordata, Amphibia, Anura, Pelobatidae. The record is from the annotation of a GenBank genome assembly.
GGGACGUCCUCAAAUUUUAGAACAUAUAUGUGACAAGACCAAUCUCGCCACAUUGCAUUGGAGAAGCCUUGUUGCUCGCCUGUUGCCUUUGGACUAUGGCCCCAUGUUAAAAGCCUUCUUGCUUCUGCAUUCGGUCGAUUAACCGGAUGCCUGUUCUUUCAGUAGUUAAACCGUAUGGACAGCAUUACCCCAGAUAGCCAUUCCGUGGAGUCUAUUCGUAUGGAGAACAGACUUUGUAAACACUUUAACUCCACGGCAAUUGGACUGUGUGCAUAGGAUCUGAGCGCUAUUCG